CCUACGGGGGGCAGCAGUGAGGAAUAUUGGUCAAUGGACGGGAGUCUGAACCAGCCAAGUCGCGUGAAGGAAGACGGCACUAUGUAUUGUAAACUUCUUUUGUCGGGGAACAAAGGCGGAGACGUGUCUCCGGAUGAGUGUACCCGAAGAAUAAGCAUCGGCUAACUCCGUGCCAGCAGCCGCGGUAAUACGGAGGAUGCGAGCGUUAUCCGGAUUUAUUGGGUUUAAAGGGUGCGUAGGGGGGAGAUAAAGUCAGCGGUAAAAUGUCGGGGCUCAACCCCGGCCGGCCGUUGGAACUGGUGUGCUAGAGUUGGAGUGAAGUAUGCGGAAUGCGUGGUGUAGCGGUGAAAUGCAUAGAGAUC
This 362-nucleotide ribosomal RNA is filed under the name uncultured bacterium. Its description in RNAcentral is "partial 16S ribosomal RNA". It matches the Rfam family "Bacterial small subunit ribosomal RNA", at positions 338 to 698 of the family's 1533-position model. The record is from RNAcentral.